AUACGUUAUUCCUUGGAAGACAAUCCUUUGCCUUUUAAAGGGUUUAGGUAAAGAAUGAAAAGAUAGAGAGGUGUGAGUGAGUGUUAUGAUGGUUAAUUGGGUUGGUUGGUGCCUUUGAGUGCUUUUUUAGAAUGGACUUUGAUCUUCUACUUUAUACAACAUUACAAAAGCUUAGCAUAAUUGAAGCAGGUUAAAAGCAUAUGCUUAACUAAUACUAACACCCCUUCAUUCGCUCCAUUCUUUUGUCUUCUCUUCUCUCUCUUCAUGCUUUCCAAUCAUUUUUGUCCAUAUCUCACCACUUUCUUCUCACUUCCUACUUUUCAAAACUAAUUACACUCAUUUCUUCAAUACACUACUCCUCAUACAUCUAAUAACACUCUUUUCAUUU
RNAcentral lists this long non-coding RNA (388 nucleotides) under Vigna radiata. Its description in RNAcentral is "long non-coding RNA (VRAD_LNC007479)". The record is from RNAcentral. Lineage: Eukaryota; Viridiplantae; Streptophyta; Magnoliopsida; Fabales; Fabaceae.